This 492-nucleotide ribosomal RNA is filed under the name uncultured bacterium. RNAcentral describes it as "partial 16S ribosomal RNA". It matches the Rfam family "Bacterial small subunit ribosomal RNA", at positions 29 to 507 of the family's 1533-position model. The record is from RNAcentral.
AGUGAACGCUGGCGGUAGGCCUAACACAUGCAAGUCGAACGGCAGCACAGUAAGAGCUUGCUCUUACGGGUGGCGAGUGGCGGACGGGUGAGGAAUACAUCGGAAUCUACUUUUUCGUGGGGGAUAACGUAGGGAAACUUACGCUAAUACCGCAUACGACCUACGGGUGAAAGCAGGGGAUCUUCGGACCUUGCGCGAUUGAAUGAGCCGAUGUCGGAUUAGCUAGUUGGCGGGGUAAAGGCCCACCAAGGCGACGAUCCGUAGCUGGUCUGAGAGGAUGAUCAGCCACACUGGAACUGAGACACGGUCCAGACUCCUACGGGAGGCAGCAGUGGGGAAUAUUGGACAAUGGGCGCAAGCCUGAUCCAGCCAUACCUCUUGGGUGAAGAAGGCCUUCGGGUUGUAAAGCCCUUUUGUUGGGAAAGAAAAGCAGCAGGUUAAUACCCCGCUGUUCUGACGGUACCCAAAGAAUAAGCACCGGCUAACUUCGUG